CGAUGAUUUAAAAUCUAAGCCAGUAUUUAUUUACAGUUUAUAGAUUACAAGCUAGUUCCCAGCUUGGGGAAAAUCGUUUAGUAUAUUACAAAGGAUUGGACUCUACGUGGCUCACUUAAUGCCUUCACUCAAGUGUAGGCACAUUAGUCAAUAAGAGAGAAAAUUCAAAAGUAAGGAAUGUAUAUGAAAGAGCCGACCACCAAACUUCCCAAUAACUCCACUCCACCCCAUCACUACUUUACUUUUCCCCCACCAUAUUAGUGCACCACCAACUCCACUACCUAUGCUCCCCACCAACUCCAAUCACCCAUUCCUUCCAUUUCGCACCAGCAAUCACCAAGAGAAGGAAGACUUGGCUUAACUACUUUGCCAAGAUUUCAAGUUGCUCCAGUCCAGUAGUACCCCAACACUCCGGCAGUGUUUUUCAAGGCGAUUUCAGCCAUUCAAACGGUUCCCAAAAAUUCUCAAAUUUAUUUGUGUAUCAUCUUUCAUAUGUUUUCUAUACUUUGGUAAAAUUUCAGAAGGUUUGAAUCUCUUAUGAUUUAUUUAUGAAUUUGUAAACAUCACUGCCCAUCUGGAAUACAUUUUUGGUAAACAAUUUUUGGGAGGCCAUAAGUAAAGUUUCAAUCGGUGAAAACCUUUGAAACUUGAAUAUGUCACUCUAGACUCCCGUAUCUUUCUUUUGAAAUCGGCCUCACCAUUUUUGAGUAAGGGAAACAACCGGUAUAAAUUCUUGAAAUCUAGUUCUUAUUCCUUGUACCAUCCAGUAGAUUUUACAAACCUACGACUUUGAGGUGGCAAAUACCGACUUAAAUCUUUGAUUCUCAAGCGUAUCUUUCUACUGAAUAUUCACUGACAUGUUGGGAACUUACUUGUUCAGUUUUAGAAUUUUUGGUGAAGCCUAAAGUGGUUUUUCCGAUUUAUGUUCUGAAUCUGCCAAACUUGAACUCUUUUUGUGCACUGAACUUUAGAUAGUCAUAUCUUCUAAACCAUGAAUGUUAUUAGAGUAAAUCCAACUGGAGAGUGUUAUGAUCUCUCCCUAGUUUCCAGAUUGACCCUUGGGGUUCCCAGUGGAGUUUUGUAAAGGGAGAUAUGAAUUUUUAAAGAAAGCCCACUGACUUGGUUGUAAUCUGGAAAUCUGAAAUUUUCAGAUUUUUGCUAGUUAAAUACCCAUCUUUGAGAGGGCAUAUCUUGCUCGUUUGAAUUGUUUUUCAUUCGAUUCAAAUUGGAGAAUGAUCCUUGAAAUGUCUAGUUUCCAGAAUGUCUUUUGGAGCCUCAUUUGGAGAUCCGAGGCAGAUUUGGUGUCUGUUGCAAAACAACCUCUUAAGAGCUCAAGUUGUUGAAUUAUUUUCUAUGUAUCAAAGUUUAUUUUAAAGGAUGUUUCAUGAAAGAUUUCGUAUAUGUGCGUAACAAGUUUGGGACUAUUUAUUUUAAAUGAGGUCCGUUCUUUAUUUAAAUUAUGAUGGACUUUUAAUGAAUAUUUUUGGGAUUAAACUCUUAUUUCUUGAUUUAUGUAAAUUAUUUUUUUUAAGGACUUAUAAAUAUGAAUUUCGUAGGCCUACUGACCUACUGUGAUCGACGGUUUGUCGAUGUCUAAUAGCUUUGAAAAUUUUAUAGCAAGUCCCGACAUGAGUCUUGAGUACCCUGGUAAAAUUUCAAGCCAUUCCAACUUCGUUUGAUACUUCUUUAAAAUGCAAAACCUAAACUGCACAUUACCACCGAGAAUUUCAGAGAACAGAUGAAAGAGUCAUUUAUUUCAGUAGCUUCCUGUGUGAUCUAGCUUUCCAAAUGUUUAUGGUAUUCACCUUAUUGUGUUAGCUAGAUAUCCACCAAAGUUGAGCCCAGUUUGACAACGUUUACUAUUUUUAAAAAAUCCAAGUUUUCGAUUGUUCAAAACUGCCGAACAUGGUAGAUCGUGGUAAAAACGUCAUAUCUCUCAAACCACUUGGAGUUUUCGACUCUACUUUUUUUUAUAUGAAACUAGAUUCGAAGAUCUUUCUUUCAGUAUGAGUCUCGAGUCCAGGAGAUGUCGGAGUCAGAACAGAUUAAAUUUUGAAGUUGAGUCAGUGUAAAAACAGAGCAUGUUUUAAUGAUGUUUUUGGACUUCGGACUUUAAAGCGAACUAUUAUCAUUUAUUUCUUUAAAGCCACUGGUUUAUUUAAUUAAUUGGCUACUCUCUUUUGAGCCUAUUAAUUAUUUGAGGUUACGCUAGUAAUGAUGUAACGAAUUAUGGAUGCUAGAACCCUAAAACACUAAAAGAUACCCUAGGCACGUAGAAUUAGACUUUGUCUUAUGACAAUUACUUCACGAACUUAUCGACUCUUCAUCAAUGAAGGUCCGGGCGACAGAAAGUGAAGCCGAAGAAGAAACGACUCCACGCCAGCUUUAAGAACAAUUGAGGUUGAGCUGUGAUGGGCGAUGAAGUGUUGUUGCUGAGUGGAGUUUUUGUCGAACUUAAAGUAGGCUCAGAAAGGGUACAUGUCUUCAUACAUGUAUCUCAGUUAUGCAUUCCGCUGUAAACACUGAUUAUUUCAGUUACGCCUUCCGUUGCAAACUCUGAUAAUAUUUUAGCCAAGCCCCUAACGAUGCCUUUUUCCUUUUAAGGAAUAUAACGCGUAUACAAGUUCUUUGA
Long non-coding RNA from Salvia miltiorrhiza (redroot sage), 2632 nucleotides. RefSeq lists it as uncharacterized. The transcript has 2 exons. Lineage: Eukaryota; Viridiplantae; Streptophyta; Magnoliopsida; Lamiales; Lamiaceae. The record is from RefSeq and is a predicted model, not a curated record.